AUACCGCCGACAGCGAACUAACAACCAAAACGAUGGUGUUUAGUUUGCCUUUGUAGCCAUCUCUGGUUAGUCUUUGCUUAAGUAUAAGUAUAUAUACUCUUUUGAUCCCGUG
Molecule: long non-coding RNA, 112 nt
Organism: Alosa sapidissima (American shad)
Lineage: Eukaryota; Metazoa; Chordata; Actinopteri; Clupeiformes; Clupeidae
Exons: 3
Source: RefSeq, a predicted model, not a curated record